This 207-nucleotide ribosomal RNA is filed under the name uncultured bacterium. RNAcentral describes it as "partial 16S ribosomal RNA". It matches the Rfam family "Bacterial small subunit ribosomal RNA", at positions 568 to 774 of the family's 1533-position model. The record is from RNAcentral.
CGUGUAGGCGGAGAUGCAAGUCAGAAGUGAAAUCCCGGGGCUCAACCCCGGAACUGCUUUUGAAACUGUAUCCCUUGAGUGUCGGAGAGGCAAGCGGAAUUCCUAGUGUAGCGGUGAAAUGCGUAGAUAUUAGGAGGAACACCAGUGGCGAAGGCGGCUUGCUGGACGAUAACUGACGCUGAGGCGCGAAAGCGUGGGGAGCAAACA